GCCUUGGUGGUUCAGUGGUAGAAAUCUCGCUUUCUAUGGGAGAGACCCAGGUUCAAUUCCCAGCCGAUGCA
RNAcentral lists this transfer RNA (71 nucleotides) under Loxodonta africana (African savanna elephant). It matches the Rfam family "tRNA". From Rfam's summary of the family: Transfer RNA (tRNA) molecules are approximately 80 nucleotides in length. Their secondary structure includes four short double-helical elements and three loops (D, anti-codon, and T loops). Further hydrogen bonds mediate the characteristic L-shaped molecular structure. tRNAs have two regions of fundamental functional importance: the anti-codon, which is responsible for specific mRNA codon recognition, and the 3' end, to which the tRNAs corresponding amino acid is attached (by aminoacyl-tRNA synthetases). tRNAs cope with the degeneracy of the genetic code in two manners: having more than one tRNA (with a specific anti-codon) for a particular amino acid; and 'wobble' base-pairing, i.e. permitting non-standard base-pairing at the 3rd anti-codon position. Lineage: Eukaryota; Metazoa; Chordata; Mammalia; Proboscidea; Elephantidae. The record is from Rfam by way of RNAcentral.